AUCCGCGGCAGGCGGCGGGCGGGCGCGCGCCUCGCGACGCGGCGGGCGAGGGGAGGGGACGGCGCUGCGGCGGCGCGCCCGCUGGGCCGGCCCUCGGAGACGGGCGGGCAGGCGAAUGCGGCGGGAGCGCGCGCGCACGGCCUCGGGGCCCCGCCCCUCGCCCCGCCCCUCGCCUCUGAUUCCUCGGAGCAUCUCCCGGGCUGGGGGGUGAGGGGUUCUCAGACCGGACGGGGGCGAGCACGUGCCUGAUGCAAUUCGGGAGGCGGGGGCGAUGAGGGGGGCAAGAGAAAUGGGGGGGGUAAACAGGGGGAGGUGCCUUAAAGGGCCAGCGCGUGAGAGCGGCCGCAGGUGGAGCACAUGGGAACGGGCCAUGCGGCCGCCCGGGCCUGCUCGCGCUCUUGAGGUUAGGUGAGCCAGAUUCGGGAGAAGGAGCCAUUAAUGCCACCCGCCACUUACAGGGUGGUGGAGGGGGGUACCCAUCCACCCCAAGGACGCGCCGACGGUGCUGGCUCGCUGGCGCACAGCGGGCCUGGCCCCUCCAGGCCCCGCCCGGGUGACCUUGGGCGAACCGCCCUCACCUCCGCCGGCUGUGCUCGGCUCCUCCCCGCCGUCCCCGGCCCGGACACUGACCGGAGAUGGGUUCGACUCCCGGACCGGAAGGCGGGCCCUUAACCCUUAGGGGCAGCGGGCGCCUAGGAGGGCGUUUGUGGAACCAGGACAGACGUGAUUGUCCCCAGCUGGCAGCCAAAGAACUGAGCCCCACAGAAGUUCAGUGAUUUGCUCCAGGAUGCCAGAGCAGCAGAAUCAAGAUCAGAACCCUAGUCCAGACCCCUGCACAACACGACGCAAGACAGAGAGCACCCAUGGAGAAUACAAACCCUCCCCAGACCCCCAGACUCAGUUUCUCUUCUUCAGGAAUUCGGAAGGAUCCAGGUGAGACACAUCCACUUGGCAGAUGUCAGCAGCACACAGAAGCUCCGCAUACUUUCAGGAAGUCUUGUGUGACUUUUGCUCAAUACCUGUCAUGUCCUGUGGACCCAGGGCUGGAGGAGGCGCCUGGAGUCAGCCCUCUCAUCAUACAGCUCAGAAACCGAGGCCCAGAGAGUGGACAGCACUUGCCCGAAGUCUUACAGCUGGUUCAUGGCAGAGGCUUGACUAGGUAACCAAGUCUCUUGAGGCCAGACUCCAUGCUCUUUCCUCCAGGCCUACGGAAUCUUGCAAUUGCUCUAAGUUAGCUGUUGUGUAUCAAAAUCGUGUGAUGCCUUGGGGUUUACAUUGGCCAAAACUCAUUGAACUGCACGCUUAAAACCUGUACCGUCCACUGUUUUAAAUAUAACUCAAUUUAAAAAAUGAUAAAAUGGUAUGGAAGCAUCCUGUUUCAUGAAGGGGUCAGUGUCUAAGGUCAGAAUUUAGGGCAAAAAUAAUGUAUAUUCUAAAGGGCUCAAGAAAACCCCUUAGGAAGGCAGCACACUAGAGCCAGCCUCGUCUCUCAGUGUUUCUGCGGGUGUUGUAACAGCUCGCUGUUUCUUCAGAGGGGCUAGAGUAGACGCUGGCUGGCAGGUAGGGGUCAGGUUGUGACAAAAAGAAAGUAUCUCCACAACAGGGUGAUAUUCAGGGUGGUGAGAUGCACAUGUGGGAACUAAGACUGCUGAGGCUUGUAGUAUCACACCACACACACACACGCACACACACACAUGCACACGGACCUCCCUGAGCAGGUUCCUGGAACAGGUUAACUGAAGGCCUAGAGCUGGAGAGAAGGAUCUGAGAGUUCCUGGGCCCCAGCGAGUGAGAGAAGUCAGGGGAAUGUCAUGGCCUCUGAUGGAGAGGGCUGAGGGGCAGGGGGUCAGAGCACAGCUGGAAAGCUGAAAGAACAGAGAACACCUCAUUCAAGAGGAGAGGGCAGGGGUGGGGAACCAGGGAAGGGAGGUGAGAUAAAAAGAGAGAGACAUUUGGAGGUAGUUUGGGUUUGAGAAGGAGAAAGCAAGUACCAAGGGUGGACCUGCCGUAGCAUCGCAAAACUAAUGAUUGUCCUUUGAUAAGUAAGCACCCCAAAAUUUGGAGUGAUGGAGGUGGGGGAGGCUAAUCCACAAAGCAGGAUACGUUUAAUGAGAUUAAAUUCGAUAACUUUCAGAACAGUUUGUUAGUCAUGUAUAUAUAAAAAGGAAGAUUCCAUGCUUCUCGAUAUCAAAAAGGUUUGUUCUUUUGAGGGUUUUAAACAUUCACCGUAGAAUUGUGUUAAACCAAUACAUUUGUUCACCUCACACCCAUUAGGAUUGGCUAGUAUCAAAAAAAAAGAAAGAAAGAGAAGAGAACAAGUGUUGGCAGGGAUGUUGAGAAAUUUGGAAUCCUUGUAGGAAAAAAAAAAAAAGGAUAAGACAAAAGUCAACCUCCCUCCAGAAAUCCCAAGCCACGUAACAUUCUGGGUAGGUCCAGACAGAGCUCAUGAAUAAGCUAGUCCUGGGGACUCUGAGUGGCCUGGGAUCAUGGGACUAUACCCAGGACAUUCACCCUCUUCAUCUAUACACUAACUUCACUACCCACUGCAACACACCCACCUUCCAGCACCACCUUCAACCUGAGGGGACAGCAAUGUGCAGACAGGAAAGGCUGUUGAAUACGGUAACUGUAACAAUAUAAUUUAUCUCAAAAGAACGAUUAUGACAUGAUUAUGUAAUUAAUACUUUUUAGUCAGACAUUUUCAUCUCUAAGGAUCUCUGCGAGUCUUACAGAUUAUUUAAAUAUAUAUCAAACACAUUUCUGGAGACAAAGUUAUAGUUUUAGAAGAUAAUUAAAAUUCCUUCCCUUUUGGAAUUAAGAGGAUUGCUGGUGGGAUGAAUAGUAUGCCCAUCAGACCCAGGAAUAGCUCUAAACCUAGGAACCCCAAACAUAGGGCUGGAAAGGAUCUUUUUUUUUUUUUUUUAAGGAAGAUUAGCCCUGAGCUAACA
Equus caballus (horse) is the source of this 2948-nucleotide non-coding RNA. The record is from RefSeq and is a predicted model, not a curated record. NCBI's taxonomy places the organism in Eukaryota, Metazoa, Chordata, Mammalia, Perissodactyla, Equidae.